RNAcentral lists this ribosomal RNA (253 nucleotides) under uncultured bacterium. RNAcentral describes it as "partial 16S ribosomal RNA". It matches the Rfam family "Archaeal small subunit ribosomal RNA", at positions 474 to 727 of the family's 1478-position model. The record is from RNAcentral.
UACCAGCACCCCGAGUGGUCGGGACGAUUAUUGGGCCUAAAGCAUCCGUAGCCGGUACUGCAAGUCUUCCGUUAAAUCCACCUGCUCAACAGUUGGGCUGCGGAGGAUACUACAGCGCUAGGAGGCGGGAGAGGCAAGCGGUACUCAUUGGGUAGGGGUAAAAUCCACUGAUCCAUUGAAGAACACCCGUGGCGAAGGCGGCUCUCUGGAACGCAACUGACGCUGAGACGCGAAAGCGUGGGGAGCAAACAGG